This 324-nucleotide ribosomal RNA is filed under the name uncultured eukaryote. RNAcentral describes it as "partial 18S ribosomal RNA". It matches the Rfam family "Eukaryotic small subunit ribosomal RNA", at positions 1470 to 1796 of the family's 1831-position model. The record is from RNAcentral.
CCCUUAGAUGUUCUGGGCCGCACGCGCGCUACACUGAUGCAUUCAACGAGUUUCUUCCUGGUCCGAGAGGAAUGGCUAACCUUUUGAAAGUGCAUCGUGAUAGGGAUAGACUAUUGCAAUUAUUGGUCUUCAACGAGGAAUUCCUAGUAGACGUAGUUCAUCAGACUGCAUCGAUUACGUCCCUGCCCUUUGUACACACCGCCCGUCGCUCCUACCGAUUGAAUGCUCAGGUGAGCCAUUCGGACUUUCAUCAUGCUGGUUUCCAGUUUUGAUGAAGGAAAGUCUUGCGAACCUUAUCAUUUAGAGGAAGGAGAAGUCGUAACA